CCUACGGGUGGCAGCAGUGGGGGAUAUUGCACAAUGGGGGGAACCCUGAUGCAGCGACGCCGCGUGAAGGAAGAAGUAUCUCGGUAUGUAAACUUCUAUCAGCAGGGAAGAAAAUGACGGUAACUGACUAAGAAGCCCCGGCUAACUACGUUCCAGCAGCCGCGGGAAUACGUAGGGGGCAAGCGUUAUCCGGAUUUACUGGGUGGAAAGGGAGCGUAGGCGGCAGUGCAAGUCCGAAGUGAAAGCCCGGGGCUCAACUCCGGGACUGCUUUUGAAACUGUACAGCUAGAUUGCAGGAGAGGCAAGUGGAAUUCCUAGUGUAGCGGUGAAAUGCGUAGAUAUUAGGAGGAACACCAGUGGCGAAGGCGGCUUACUGGACUGUAAAUGACGCUGAGGCUCGAAAGCGUGGGGAGCAAACAGGAUUAGAUACCCCAGUAGUC
Molecule: ribosomal RNA, 440 nt
Filed under: uncultured bacterium
Lineage: Bacteria
Description: partial 16S ribosomal RNA
Rfam family: Bacterial small subunit ribosomal RNA
Source: RNAcentral